GCGUGCUAAUCUGCGAUAAGCGCCGGUAAGGUGAUAUGAACCGUUAUAACCGGCGAUACCCGAAUGGGGAAACCCAGUGUGAUUCGUCACACUAUCAUUAACUGAAUCCAUAGGUUAAUGAGGCGAACCGGGGGAACUGAAACAUCUAAGUACCCCGAGGAAAAGAAAUCAACCGAGAUUCCCCCAGUAGCGGCGAGCGAACGGGGAGGAGCCCAGAGCCUGAAUCAGCAUGUGUGUUAGUGGAAGCGUCUGGAAAGGCGCGCGAUACAGGGUGACAGCCCCGUACACAAAAGCGCAUGUGCUGUGAGCUCGAUGAGUAGGGCGGGACACGUGGUAUCCUGUCUGAAUAUGGGGGGACCAUCCUCCAAGGCUAAAUACUCCUGACUGACCGAUAGUGAACCAGUACCGUGAGGGAAAGGCGAAAAGAACCCCGGCGAGGGGAGUGAAAAAGAACCUGAAACCGUGUACGUACAAGCAGUGGGAGCACCCUUUGGGUGUGACUGCGUACCUUUUGUAUAAUGGGUCAGCGACUUAUAUUCUGUAGCAAGGUUAACCGAAUAGGGGAGCCGGAGGGAAACCGAGUCUUAAUUGGGCGUUAAGUUGCAGGGUAUAGACCCGAAACCCGGUGAUCUAGCCAUGGGCAGGUUGAAGGUUGGGUAACACUAACUGGAGGACCGAACCGACUAAUGUUGAAAAAUUAGCGGAUGACCUGUGGCUGGGGGUGAAAGGCCAAUCAAACCGGGAGAUAGCUGGUUCUCCCCGAAAGCUAUUUAGGUAGCGCCUCGUGAAUUCAUCUCCGGGGGUAGAGCACUGUUUCGGCUAGGGGGCCAUCCCGGCUUACCAACCCGAUGCAAACUGCGAAUACCGGAGAAUGUUAUCACGGGAGACACACGGCGGGUGCUAACGUCCGUCGUGAAGAGGGAAACAACCCAGACCGCCAGCUAAGGUCCCAAAGUCAUGGUUAAGUGGGAAACGAUGUGGGAAGGCCCAGACAGCCAGGAUGUUGGCUUAGAAGCAGCCAUCAUUUAAAGAAAGCGUAAUAGCUCACUGGUCGAGUCGGCCUGCGCGGAAGAUGUAACGGGGCUAAACCAUGCACCGAAGCUGCGGCAGCGACACUGUGUGUUGUUGGGUA
This 1132-nucleotide ribosomal RNA is filed under the name Salmonella enterica subsp. enterica serovar Enteritidis. RNAcentral describes it as "partial 23S ribosomal RNA". It matches the Rfam family "Bacterial large subunit ribosomal RNA", at positions 56 to 1230 of the family's 2925-position model. The record is from RNAcentral. Lineage: Bacteria; Pseudomonadati; Pseudomonadota; Gammaproteobacteria; Enterobacterales; Enterobacteriaceae.